GAUGAACGCUGGCGGCGUGCCUAAUACAUGCAAGUCGAGCGAACAGACGAGGAGCUUGCUCCUCUGACGUUAGCGGCGGACGGGUGAGUAACACGUGGAUAACCUACCUAUAAGACUGGGAUAACUUCGGGAAACCGGAGCUAAUACCGGAUAAUAUAUUGAACCGCAUGGUUCAAUAGUGAAAGACGUUUUUGCUGACACUUAUAGAUGUAUCCGCGCCGCAUUAGCUAGUUGGUAAGGUAACGGCUUACCAAGGCAACGAUGCGUAGCCGACCUGAGAGGGUGAUCAGCCACACUGGAACUGAGACACGGUCCAGACUCCUACGGGAGGCAGCAGUAGGGAAUCUUCCGCAAUGGGCGAAAGCCUGACGGAGCAACGCCGCGUGAGUGAUGAAGGUCUUCGGAUCGUAAAACUCUGUUAUUAGGGAAGAACAAAUGUGUAAGUAACUAUGCACGUCUUGACGGUACCUAAUCAGAAAGCCACGGCUAACUACGUG
RNAcentral lists this ribosomal RNA (497 nucleotides) under uncultured bacterium. Its description in RNAcentral is "partial 16S ribosomal RNA". It matches the Rfam family "Bacterial small subunit ribosomal RNA", at positions 28 to 507 of the family's 1533-position model. The record is from RNAcentral.